RNAcentral lists this ribosomal RNA (126 nucleotides) under Clostridioides difficile. RNAcentral describes it as "partial 23S ribosomal RNA". It matches the Rfam family "Bacterial large subunit ribosomal RNA", at positions 2803 to 2925 of the family's 2925-position model. Lineage: Bacteria; Bacillati; Bacillota; Clostridia; Peptostreptococcales; Peptostreptococcaceae. The record is from RNAcentral.
GAUAAGAUUUCCCACCGCAAGGGUAAGACCCCAGAAAGACUAUCUGGUUGAUAGGUCGAAGGUGUAAGUGCAGCAAUGUAUUUAGCUUAUCGAUACUAAUAGGUCGAGGACUUGACCAAUAUCAUU